This 397-nucleotide ribosomal RNA is filed under the name uncultured Pseudomonas sp. RNAcentral describes it as "bacterial SSU rRNA". It matches the Rfam family "Bacterial small subunit ribosomal RNA", at positions 985 to 1382 of the family's 1533-position model. The record is from RNAcentral. Lineage: Bacteria; Pseudomonadati; Pseudomonadota; Gammaproteobacteria; Pseudomonadales; Pseudomonadaceae.
CAUGCAGAGAACUUUCCAGAGAUGGAUUGUGCCUUCGGGAACUCUGACACAGGUGCUGCAUGGCUGUCGUCAGCUCGUGUCGUGAGAUGUUGGGUUAAGUCCGUAACGAGCGCAACCCUUGUCCUUAGUUACCAGCACGUUAUGGUGGGCACUCUAAGGAGACUGCCGGUGACAAACCGGAGGAAGGUGGGGAGUGACGUCAAGUCAUCAUGGCCCUUACGGCCUGGGCUACACACGUGCUACAAUGGUCGGUACAAAGGGUUGCCAAGCCGCGAGGUGGAGCUAAUCCCAUAAAACCGAUCGUAGUCCGGAUCGCAGUCUGCAACUCGACUGCGUGAAGUCGGAAUCGCUAGUAAUCGUGAAUCAGAAUGUCACGGUGAAUACGUUCCCGGGCCUU